AUUCCCGACAAUGGGGGAAACCCUGAUCGAGCGACGCCGCGUGGAGGAUGAAGGUCUUCGGGUUGUCAACCCCUGUCAUUUGGGAACAAGGCGUACCCGGCAACUGUCCGUACGUUGCCAGUACCAGAGCGGGAAGAGACGGCUAACUCUGUGCCAGCAGCCGCGGUAAUACAGAGGUCUCAAGCGUUGUUCGGAUCAU
This 199-nucleotide ribosomal RNA is filed under the name uncultured bacterium. RNAcentral's name for it is "partial 16S ribosomal RNA". It matches the Rfam family "Bacterial small subunit ribosomal RNA", at positions 361 to 553 of the family's 1533-position model. The record is from RNAcentral.